Molecule: ribosomal RNA, 253 nt
Filed under: uncultured bacterium
Lineage: Bacteria
Description: partial 16S ribosomal RNA
Rfam family: Bacterial small subunit ribosomal RNA
Source: RNAcentral
UACGUAGGGUGCGAGCGUUAAUCGGAAUUACUGGGCGUAAAGCGCACGUAGGCGGAUUUGUUAGUCAGGGGUGAAAUCCCCGGGCUCAACCCGGGAACUGCGUCCGAUACUGGUUGGCUUGAAUCCGGGAGAGGGAUGCGGAAUUCCAGGUGUAGCGGUGAAAUGCGUAGAUAUCUGGAGGAACACCGGUGGCGAAGGCGGCAUCCUGGACCGGCAUUGACGCUGAGGCGCGAAAGCCAGGGGAGCAAACGGG